UGGCAGGUACCGCCGGGUUCGAAAACUCUAAUUUAACGUUUUCGAUUUGAUCAUGUGUGGGUGAAUACACGAAUAAAUUCGGCUCGAUAAAUAUUGCUGUAAAUGGUGAAAAACUUCAUAUAAUUAGAUAAAAGUUAUACUAAGGUGAAGUUCAAAAAUAAUCUUGCAUCUUAAAUAAAAAUUUUUGUGCAAUAUCGGUGAAAUUUCAAUAAUAAAGUGAAAGUACACAACUAAGAAACCGAUAAUUCUGUGGCAAGUUAAAAAACGGAGAUAAAUUGACAUCAUAGACCUAAUAUCAAAUGGACAGGCCUUAGAGAGAAAUUCUGGCAUGCCGCAUAUGAAAGAGAGAGAUGGAGCUAGAUGAGUCAACGUCAAAAUCAUAUGAUCAAAACAUUGAACUCACAUUCAGAAGAUCGCUAAUUUUUCUCUCAUUCUGAAUUGAACACAUAGUUAAUCUGAUUGAUUCGAUUUGUAAAAGUGUUGAACAUUCUAAUAAAAGGAAUUAGCGAAUCCAUCUGCUGUUGCGAAAUUCAAAGCACCAAAAGAACUAUUUUUCAAAUAAAAUGCCUCACACUCGUGCAGCCUUCAAUUGUACAGCGAGAUUAGAAAAAAGCCAAAAGUUGAAAUUUCAUUCGUAAGUAUUUAUUUCUUUUAAUACCCUCUGAAUUCAUACAUAAAGGAAAUAUCAGUUCACAGUUUUCCAAAGGAUGACAAAUUAAGGGAACAGUGGAUGAAAGCUGAAGAAUAAUUGAUUUCAACCCAUUUUCCUUGUUGGAAAUAUGCAGCAACCGUUUUCAUCAACAUGAUUUAUUAAUAUUCAUGGUACAAAAAUUCUGAAAAAAGAUGUUAUUCCUUCAGUUUUCAGUUUCUCCAAUUAUAUUCCUGGGAGAUUAAAUUAUGGAGAUAAAUGUCGUGAAGAUAAUAUAGAAGGUACAUUAAUAUUUUAUUUUUUAAGGAUGUGAAAUAUCUACUUAUUUUCCGUCCCUUAUUUUAUUCAUUCAUAUAAAUAAUUAUUGCAAAAGAAAUUGAACAGGACCAGACAGAGACAAAACAGCAAGAGAUGGGGCAACCAGAGACGGUACAACUGUUUAUAAUAUCAAAAUCCUCUGCUGCUGCCAUGGAAGAUUUUUCCCCCAGAUUGAAUACUUAUAUUAGAAAUACUAGAAAUUAGAAACCUGGGAAUGAGGAUUUCAAAGAAUGGAACACUAGACGAAGUAAUAUCUGAGAGAAACAUCCAAAGAAAACCAAUAAUCUCAAUGUUAAAUAGGAUAUUAUCGAUUAAAAACAUAAAUGUGCAUAAUAAGAAAAUAAUUCACUCAAUAGUUAGGACAUAAUAACAUACAGCUCUGAAGUGAACAGCAGCUGGAAAAUCUGAAAGAGACAUGAUACCAAAUGAUACAAUAAGACAUAGAAUGGAAAUAAGACAUGAUAUUAUUGAUCUUAAGAACACAACAGUUGGUUUGGUACAGACAAGUCCAUAAAUACUUGUGAUACUAGGUGUGAUUUAAACAAGAAUAAUUUUGAAAUUUUCAGUUUUUUAGAUUGCCAUACUAAAUGAGGAACAUAUUCUGUGCCGUGGCUUAAAAAUUCAUCUUUAGAGAAGCUCAUUCACUGAAAGGCUGAAAAUGGGUAUCUUGAAUUGUUAUUUAGUUGAAAAUUACUUUCAACGUAUGAGAACAACAACUUAUAACGUUAUGAUAUGUAUUUUUCAGGAAAAAUGAAUGUAUCAUAACUGAUCCUUGGAGAGAUAAGGAGAAGAAGAUUAAUUUCAAGAUUUGGAGGAGUUUAGAACUAAAAAUCCUGAAAUUUUUCAAUAUCCUGGAUAUUAAAUGAUUGGAAGAGUGAAUAUCCUCCUUAGUGGAGAGUGAAAAAUCCGACUCGAAGAUGUUCUUCCACAUGCGCUGAUAGGCUAAGUCGGACCAUUUUUUUAAAUCAUUUAUUGUAAUAAUGUAUUUUGAACAGCAAUAAAAACUUAAUGAAUACAAUUCUUCAUAGACUUUCUUUUUUUCCAUUGCCUGUAUUAUUUGGAAACAAUUUUCUGAAAGAUUUUACUAUUAUCAAAUUGAUAAGUGACUUGAACUAAACUAGUUGGAAGUAAUACAA
Molecule: long non-coding RNA, 2103 nt
Organism: Harmonia axyridis
Lineage: Eukaryota; Metazoa; Arthropoda; Insecta; Coleoptera; Coccinellidae
Exons: 3
Source: RefSeq, a predicted model, not a curated record